ACAACACAGCAGUCUCCAGGUACAUAAAAGAAAACGUACUGGAGAGAAAUCCUAUGAAUUGUAAGCAGUGUGGUAAAGACUUAACACGUCACAGUCAUCUUCAAAGGCAUGAAAGAAAUCAUACUGAAAGGAAACCCCAUGAGUGUACUUAAUAUAUAGUAAAGCCUUUGCACAUUUCUAUAGUCUUCUCAUCAUUAUGAAAGAAUUGUACUGGAGAGAAACCUUAUGAAUGUAUUUAUAUGGUGAAGCCUUUGCACACUAUAGUCUUCAUCAUUAUUCAUACAGCUUAGAAGUUCUAUGAAUGUAAGCAAUGUGGUAUAAAGCCUUUGUGUUAUGGAGUCUGCUGAGAUCCAACACAACUCAAACUCAGGUCAAUGGAAGUGACAAGAAUUUAUUGUAAUCAAGCUGCUACUGAUUGAUUGGGGCCACAGAAAAUACUUGGAAGCUGAACAGCAAGAAGCAGAGAGUGGGAACUAGAAAUGGAACUAGAACUUUCUGUUACACGAGCCAAUUCAUGAUGAAGAAAAACUCUGUAGGGAGGAACAGAGUACCAAUCAACUUCCGGAGUCACCAUUAUGAAAAAGGACCUGACUGUGGCAGGGUCAUUAAGAAUUUCUUUCCAUUUUCCUCAAGUGCUGUUGAUUCUGUUCAGAGCAAUGUCUCCUGUAGCUGAGGCUUGCUUCAUGCUACAUAAUUGAUAAUUGCUUUGAGCACCCAAUCCUGCCUCUGCGCUCAGUGCUGGAAACAGAGUCUUGCAACUCUCCCAGGCUAGUCUUUGACUGGUCAAUGAAAAGGAACAAUAAAACAGUGAAUGAGUGUGCUCUU
Molecule: long non-coding RNA, 825 nt
Filed under: Rattus norvegicus (Norway rat)
Lineage: Eukaryota; Metazoa; Chordata; Mammalia; Rodentia; Muridae
Description: long non-coding RNA NONRATT003967
Source: RNAcentral